This 72-nucleotide transfer RNA is filed under the name Bos taurus (domestic cattle). It matches the Rfam family "tRNA". Rfam says of the family: Transfer RNA (tRNA) molecules are approximately 80 nucleotides in length. Their secondary structure includes four short double-helical elements and three loops (D, anti-codon, and T loops). Lineage: Eukaryota; Metazoa; Chordata; Mammalia; Artiodactyla; Bovidae. The record is from Rfam by way of RNAcentral. RNAcentral also lists the same sequence under 2 other names.
UCCCUGGUGGCUCAGAUGGUAAAGUGUCUGUCUGCAAUGCAGGAGACACAGGUUCAAUCCCUGGGUUGGGAA